Molecule: ribosomal RNA, 492 nt
Filed under: uncultured bacterium
Lineage: Bacteria
Description: partial 16S ribosomal RNA
Rfam family: Bacterial small subunit ribosomal RNA
Source: RNAcentral
AGUGAACGCUGGCGGUAGGCCUAACACAUGCAAGUCGAACGGCAGCACAGUAAGAGCUUGCUCUUACGGGUGGCGAGUGGCGGACGGGUGAGGAAUACAUCGGAAUCUACUUUUUCGUGGGGGAUAACGUAGGGAAACUUACGCUAAUACCGCAUACGACCUACGGGUGAAAGCAGGGGAUCUUCGGACCUUGCGCGAUUGAAUGAGCCGAUGUCGGAUUAGCUGGUUGGCGGGGUAAAGGCCCACCAAGGCGACGAUCCGUAGCUGGUCUGAGAGGAUGAUCAGCCACACUGGAACUGAGACACGGUCCAGACUCCUACGGGAGGCAGCAGUGGGGAAUAUUGGACAAUGGGCGCAAGCCUGAUCCAGCCAUACCGCGUGGGUGAAGAAGGCCUUCGGGUUGUAAAGCCCUUUUGUUGGGAAAGAAAGGCAGCAGGUUAAUACCCCGCUGUUCUGACGGUACCCAAAGAAUAAGCACCGGCUAACUUCGUG